RNAcentral lists this ribosomal RNA (119 nucleotides) under Diaphorina citri (Asian citrus psyllid). The record is from RNAcentral. Lineage: Eukaryota; Metazoa; Arthropoda; Insecta; Hemiptera; Psyllidae.
GCCUGCGGCGAUAGCACGUUGAAUGUAUCAGUUCCCAAUGGAUCACUGAAGUUAAGCAACAUUGUGCGUGGUUGCUGUCGGGAUGGGUGACCAUCUGGACAAAUCAUGUCCUGCUUGCA